AAUAGGCAUACAGUAAGAUGUGGACUGGAGAUAGAGGCUGGAUUGGAUACUUUAUAUAAUCUUGAAUGUUGUAAUGAUUGACUGCUAAACAUACAUUUAUGAUAUUCUGAUAUGCUUUCAAUAUGUUAUCAAAACAGUUUUUAACAGGUUCUAGGCAUUUUUUAUCAGAAAAUAUGCAAAUAGGGUAAGCUGGCAAUAAUUAAAGUCUUGUUUUCAAAUUCUUUAAAAAAUUGAAACAGGGGAGGGGUAUAAAAUGUAUAGUAAAGAAAAACUUAGAGUAUACACAGUGAUUUCUUUAAGACUUUAAUUCUGAUAAAUGAGUAUUAAUGUGAGAAAAACUGAUUUUAGAGAGUUUUCUAUUUGAAUAAAUGUCUGUAUAGGUUGCACUUUGUAAAUACAGCUGUUUCUCAAAACACG
Molecule: long non-coding RNA, 417 nt
Filed under: Mytilus galloprovincialis (Mediterranean mussel)
Lineage: Eukaryota; Metazoa; Mollusca; Bivalvia; Mytilida; Mytilidae
Source: RNAcentral